UAAUGUCUGGGAAACUGCCUGAUGGAGGGGGAUAACUACUGGAAACGGUAGCUAAUACCGCAUAAUGUCGCAAGACCAAAAGGGGGGACCUUCGGGCCUCAUGCCAUCAGAUGUGCCCAGAUGGGAUUAGCUAGUAGGUGGGGUAACGGCUCACCUAGGCGACGAUCCCUAGCUGGUCUGAGAGGAUGACCAGCCACACUGGAACUGAGACACGGUCCAG
RNAcentral lists this ribosomal RNA (220 nucleotides) under uncultured bacterium. RNAcentral describes it as "partial 16S ribosomal RNA". It matches the Rfam family "Bacterial small subunit ribosomal RNA", at positions 111 to 334 of the family's 1533-position model. The record is from RNAcentral.